GAUGAACGCUGGCGGCGUGCCUAAUACAUGCAAGUCGAGCGAACAGAUCCUGCUCUUGCUCCUCUCACGUUUGCCGCGGACGUGUGAAUCACGCGUGGAUCCCCUACUUAUCAUUCUGAUAUAACUUCGGAACUCCGGAUCUAAUCCCGUAUAAUCUCUUGAACCGCAUGGUUCAAUGGUGAAAGACGGUUUUUCUGUCUCUUCUCGAUGCAUCCGCGCCGGAUUAGCUAGUUGGUAAGGUAACGGCCUACCAAGGCAACCAUGCGUAGCCGACCUGAGAGAGUGAUAGGCCACAUGGGAACGGAGACACGGUCAAGACGCCUAAGGGAGGCAGCAGUAGGGAAUCGUCCGCAAUGGGCGAAAGCAUGACGGAGCAACGCCGCGUGAGUGAUGAAGGUCUUCGGAGCGGAAAAAUCUGUUAUUAGGGAAGAACAAAUGUGGAAGUAACUAUGCACGUCGUGACGGUACCUAAUCAGAAAGCAACGGCUAACUACGUG
RNAcentral lists this ribosomal RNA (497 nucleotides) under uncultured bacterium. RNAcentral's name for it is "partial 16S ribosomal RNA". It matches the Rfam family "Bacterial small subunit ribosomal RNA", at positions 28 to 507 of the family's 1533-position model. The record is from RNAcentral.